RNAcentral lists this unclassified non-coding RNA (318 nucleotides) under Hevea brasiliensis (rubber tree). The record is from RNAcentral. Lineage: Eukaryota; Viridiplantae; Streptophyta; Magnoliopsida; Malpighiales; Euphorbiaceae.
GGAGAAGUACUAGUUACCUGAGUCUCAGAGGAAACCAUAUUUUGGGUAUAUCAUCAUCUUCAUCCUCUUCAAGCUUGAGAUGAAUAUUAUGAAUUAAGCUGAUGAAUACUUACAGGAAGAUGGAGGGUGCAUUUAUAGUAGAGCCAAGACAAGACGAAACCAAGGGCAUGUGGUAUAAAAGUAAAUAAUGGUGGUCGAGGAAUUGAAGCUGAAGCUAGCAACCAGUCAGAGGUAAAAAUGCCUCAACCCCCAAAAUCUACUCACUCUGUAUAGCUAGGUUUCAAUCAUCAGCCAGCUUUGCUAUUUUUUUGCUAAUCU